GAUGAACGCUGGCGGCGUGCCUAAUACAUGCAAGUCGAGCGAACGGACGAGAAGCUUGCUUCUCUGAUGUUAGCGGCGGACGGGUGAGUAACACGUGGUUAACCUACCUAUAAGACUGGGAUAACUUCGGGAAACCGGAGCUAAUACCGGAUAAUAUUUUGAACCGCAUGGUUCAAAAGUGAAAGACGGUCUUGCUGUCACUUAUAGAUGUAUCCGCGCUGCAUUAGCUAGUUGGUAAGGUAACGGCUUACCAAGGCAACGAUGCAUAGCCGACCUGAGAGGGCGAUCGGCCACACUGGAACUGAGACACGGUCCAGACUCCUACGGGAGGCAGCAGUAGGGAAUCUUCCGCAAUGGGCGAAAGCCUGACGGAGCAACGCCGCGUGAGUGAUGAAGGUCUUCGGAUCGUAAAACUCUGUUAUUAGUGAAGAACAUAUGUGUAAGUAACUGUGCACAUCUUGACGGUACCUAAUCAGAAAGCCACGGCUAACUACGUG
RNAcentral lists this ribosomal RNA (497 nucleotides) under uncultured bacterium. RNAcentral's name for it is "partial 16S ribosomal RNA". It matches the Rfam family "Bacterial small subunit ribosomal RNA", at positions 28 to 507 of the family's 1533-position model. The record is from RNAcentral.